This 445-nucleotide ribosomal RNA is filed under the name uncultured bacterium. RNAcentral's name for it is "bacterial SSU rRNA". It matches the Rfam family "Bacterial small subunit ribosomal RNA", at positions 358 to 796 of the family's 1533-position model. The record is from RNAcentral.
AGAAUCUUCUGCAAUGGACGAAAGUCUGACAGAGCGACGCCGCGUGGGUGAAGAAGGCCGGAAGGUUGUAAAGCCCUUUUCUAUCCGAGGAAUAACCAUUGGAGGCAAUGCCAGUGGGAUGACGGUAGGGUAGGAAUAAGCCCCGGCCAAUUACGUGCCAGCAGCCGCGGUAACACGUAUGGGGCGAGCGUUGUUCGGAAUCAUUGGGCGUAAAGGGCGCGUAGGCGGAAAUGCAAGCUUGGUGUGAAAUCCCGCAGCUCAACUGCGGAGGCGCGCUGAGAACUGCAUGUCUAGAGUUCAAGAGGGGAAGCUGGAAUUCCUGGUGUAGGGGUGAAAUCUGUAGAUAUCAGGAAGAACAUCAGUGGCGAAGGCGAGCUUCUGGCUAUGAACUGACGCUGAGGCGCGAAGCGUGGGGAGCGAACAGGAUUAGAUACCCGGGUAUUCC